RNAcentral lists this long non-coding RNA (352 nucleotides) under Setaria viridis. RNAcentral's name for it is "long non-coding RNA (SVIR_LNC001998)". Lineage: Eukaryota; Viridiplantae; Streptophyta; Magnoliopsida; Poales; Poaceae. The record is from RNAcentral.
GCCCCGUUUGGGUCCAAGGAAUUGGAAUCUAUUUAAUGGAGUAGGCUAAUUUAUGUUGGAAUGUGGCAUUCCACAACUUUCCAAAGUUUAGAUAUAAGCCUAUCUUAAAUUCAUGGGGUGGGAGAUGGAAAUUGAUUCUAUAGAUUAUGGUUAUUAGAUGGAAUUCAAUUCUUAUAGCACGCUCUUAGACUCGCUUCUCUAUAGUAGAAGUGCAUCAUACAAGUAUCUCUCCCAUAUCACCAACUAUAAUAUACAACUAUAUUCCACAUACAAUUAUAUUAGCUUAAUUAAUUUGUGUCUAAAUUAUGAUUAUUAGGAUGGAAUUCAAUUCCAAUGAUCCAAACGGGGCCUA